Molecule: unclassified non-coding RNA, 348 nt
Filed under: soil metagenome
Description: partial contains 5.8S ribosomal RNA, internal transcribed spacer 2, and large subunit ribosomal RNA
Rfam family: 5.8S ribosomal RNA (bases 1-120)
Source: RNAcentral
GAUGAAGAACGUAGCGAAAUGCGAUAAGUAAUGUGAAUUGCAGAAUUCAGUGAAUCAUCGAGUCUUUGAACGCACAUUGCGCCCCCUGGUAUUCCGGGGGGCAUGCCUGUCCGAGCGUCAUUGCUGCCCUCAAGCACGGCUUGGGUGUUGGGCCCCGCCCCCCGGCUCCCGGGGGGCGGGCCCGAAAGGCAGCGGCGGCACCGCGUCCGGUCCUCGAGCGUAUGGGGCUUCGUCACCCGCUCCGUAGGCCCGGCCGGCGCCCGCCGGCGACCCCCCUCAAUCUUUUCAGGUUGACCUCGGAUCAGGUAGGGAUACCCGCUGAACUUAAGCAUAUCAAUAAGCGGAGGA